UACGUAGGGUGCAAGCGUUAAUCGGAAUUACUGGGCGUAAAGCGUGCGCAGGCGGUGAUGUAAGACAGAUGUGAAAUCCCCGGGCUCAACCUGGGAACUGCAUUUGUGACUGCAUCGCUGGAGUGCGGCAGAGGGGGAUGGAAUUCCGCGUGUAGCAGUGAAAUGCGUAGAUAUGCGGAGGAACACCGAUGGCGAAGGCAAUCCCCUGGGCCUGCACUGACGCUGAGAAGCGAAAGCGUGGGGAGCGAACAGG
RNAcentral lists this ribosomal RNA (253 nucleotides) under uncultured bacterium. RNAcentral's name for it is "partial 16S ribosomal RNA". It matches the Rfam family "Bacterial small subunit ribosomal RNA", at positions 524 to 776 of the family's 1533-position model. The record is from RNAcentral.